GUGUUCAUACAUGGUGAGGUAUCCUCAGAACUAUGUGUGAUGGUACCCCUCUGGAGGCUGAGAUAGAAAGUUCCUUAAUGAUGGAGACUAACAAUCUUUAGCAGCAAAGGAAGAGACUGGGCGUUUUAUACAUAUAUGGUCAUGAUUUGGAGACUUGUGAGGAAGGCCAAAGUGGAUUGGCUGUGGUCUCGGUGUAGCACGAUGGAAUCUGGUGGCUUAAACCUAGCUGUCCACAUUUCACUAUCUGAAGAGCAGAAAAUGUGUUAAUAGGAGCCUGGUGAGUGGAGGAGACUGAAGAUGGAGAGAGAGCCUGGACCUCAACAUGAGCAUCUGGAGCCAUUUGGCAGCAUUAGGCUGUGACCGCUUAGAGAACCGAAAGGUGCAGAGCUUUAAAGGAUUAUGGAGUCUGAAGACCAAAUGGGAUGAUGGAGAACAGCUAUUCAGUGGUACAAAUGUAAAUGCUCCCAGGCCCGGGCAGAAAAGAGAAAACAUUUCCAUGGAAGAGGAAACAGGAAAUUCCAACAGAUCAGCAACAGUUGGAGUGCUAACCUGUCACUGGAAUGGGAAAAAAAAUGCUGUCGUUGACACAUCUUUUCCUUGUUUUUGACACAAAUUAGAAUUGAGUUUGGUUUUGCCCAUCUGAAAUAUCUGUAAAGACUCUGAGGACAGAACAGAUACUUUGGAGUUUUCUUCAAACUUGCAUAGCUCAAGGGAAUCCCAUUCAGGAUGCCACAUUACAUUCAGUAUGUCUUCUUAGACUCCUAUGGGCUGUGACAGUAUCUCAGAAUUUCCUUGCUUUUGAAUAUAUUGAGUUUUGCAACAAACUUCACAUCCAUCAAAUUCUUAACAUGAACCAGGUUCUUUGCUUACAUUCGCAUAGGCAUAUCGGUCUGGUUUUACUUGUCAGGAGGGACUGAAGAAAGCACAGGACGUAAGUUCCUCCAAGAGCAUUCUUGGAGCAGCAUCUCAUCGCUGUCCUUGGGUGUAGCCUCCCUUUUGUGAGGUUCACUCCCUCAGCUGGAGGAUGAACCACAGUGCUGCUGCAGACCUAGCUGAUGUCACAGUUGUUCAAAAGGUUCCUCUUGAAGAAUGAAAUCCUUGGGCUGCCAUUAGGAACUGCA
This 1121-nucleotide long non-coding RNA is filed under the name Homo sapiens (human). RNAcentral describes it as "non-protein coding LINC00578:8". The record is from RNAcentral. Lineage: Eukaryota; Metazoa; Chordata; Mammalia; Primates; Hominidae.